GGAGUGGCGAAAUUGGUAGACGCACCAGAUUUAGGUUCUGGCGCCGCAAGGUGUGCGAGUUCAAGUCUCAGCCAUAUUCU
This 80-nucleotide transfer RNA is filed under the name Escherichia coli. RNAcentral describes it as "tRNA-Leu". Lineage: Bacteria; Pseudomonadati; Pseudomonadota; Gammaproteobacteria; Enterobacterales; Enterobacteriaceae. The record is from RNAcentral.